Molecule: long non-coding RNA, 904 nt
Organism: Xenopus laevis (African clawed frog)
Lineage: Eukaryota; Metazoa; Chordata; Amphibia; Anura; Pipidae
Exons: 2
Source: RefSeq, a predicted model, not a curated record
UUAUUGUAGAAAACUAACGUUUCGGCUGCAACUCAGCCUUUGUCAAAGUUACAAAUACAAAUGUGAACCACCCCUAUAUACAUGGUAAAAUGCGCAAAAUUGCGACCCAUCGUCGCAUAGUGACGUACCCCACUUCUAUUGGUCCAUCAAGCAUCCUUAAUUUGCAUUUAUUUUCUAUUCCAUUGUAUAGAAAGUUAUUUUAUUAAUAUCGCUAAUCGGCCUCUUAUGCCUGGCUCAGCAUGCUCUUCCAAUCUUGCUCAUAUCAAGGCUCUCAGGCCCUUUCCCAUCACUGUCGCUAGUGCGCAUAUUAUACAUUGUGUAUGUAACUAAACUCAUACUUGAUUUCUGCCUUCUCUUUGCAGUACUGUGUGCCGCGAUCUCAGUCAGGAAGUGCCACCACAACAAUGAAACCACCGCGUGUGAUCCUGUUACCCAUACAAAGUGUCGAUGUAUGACAGCAACCUUACGCUAGCUGAUCCUCUGUCUCUGUGCAUCCGGAGCGUCCUGUAACCAUAGUGAUGGUUUCGGAAUACUAACUAAACCCCGUUACUGUGUGCCGCGAUCUCAGUCAGGAAGUGACACCACAACAAUGAAACCACCGCGUGUGAUCCUGUUACCCAUACAAAGUGUCGAUGUAUGACAGCAACCUUACGCUAGCUGAUCCUCUGUCUCUGUGCAUCCGGAGCGUCCUGUAACCAUAGUGAUGGUUUCGGAAUACUAACUAAACCCCGUGUGUGUGUGACCAAGUGCUUCCGGAUUUCAUAUAUAUAUACACGGUGGUGUCGGUACCAGUGCAAUAUUAUCUGUGAUGUUAAUAAAUAACAUACCAGCAGAUUCUGAUGUGUAUAUCCAGUGUCACCAUAUAGUGUGUUUGUGCUGUGCUAAAUAAACAUGUGAAAACGUU